UGGCGGACGGGUGAGUAACGCGUGGAUAACCUGCCGUAUACAGGGGGAUAACACUUAGAAAUAGGUGCUAAUACCGCAUAAGCGCACGGUUCCGCAUGGAACAGUGUGAAAAACUCCGGUGGUAUACGAUGGAUCCGCGUCUGAUUAGCCAGUUGGCGGGGUAACGGCCCACCAAAGCGACGAUCAGUAGCCGGCCUGAGAGGGUGAACGGCUACAUUGGGACUGAGACACGGCCCAAACUCCUACGGAAGGCAGCAG
This 258-nucleotide ribosomal RNA is filed under the name uncultured bacterium. RNAcentral's name for it is "partial 16S ribosomal RNA". It matches the Rfam family "Bacterial small subunit ribosomal RNA", at positions 96 to 354 of the family's 1533-position model. The record is from RNAcentral.